UAGGGAAUCUUCGGCAAUGGGGGCAACCCUGACCGAGCAACGCCGCGUGAGUGAAGAAGGUUUUCGGAUCGUAAAGCUCUGUUGUAAGAGAAGAACGUGUGUGAGAGUGGAAAGUUCACACAGUGACGGUAACUUACCAGAAAGGGACGGCUAACUACGUGCCAGCAGCCGCGGUAAUACGUAGGUCCCGAGCGUUGUCCGGAUUUAUUGGGCGUAAAGCGCGCGCAGGCGGUUUAAUAAGUCUGAAGUUAAAGGCAGUGGCUUAACCAUUGUUCGCUUUGGAAACUGUUAAACUUGAGUGCAGAAGGGGAGAGUGGAAUUCCAUGUGUAGCGGUGAAAUGCGUAGAUAUAUGGAGGAACACCGGUGGCGAAAGCGGCUCUCUGGUCUGUAACUGACGCUGAGGCUCGAAAGCGUGGGGAGCAAACAGG
This 429-nucleotide ribosomal RNA is filed under the name bacterium. Its description in RNAcentral is "partial 16S ribosomal RNA". It matches the Rfam family "Bacterial small subunit ribosomal RNA", at positions 355 to 776 of the family's 1533-position model. The record is from RNAcentral.